RNAcentral lists this ribosomal RNA (253 nucleotides) under uncultured bacterium. RNAcentral's name for it is "partial 16S ribosomal RNA". It matches the Rfam family "Bacterial small subunit ribosomal RNA", at positions 524 to 776 of the family's 1533-position model. The record is from RNAcentral.
UACAUGGGGUGCAAACGUUGCUCGGAAUUAUUGGGCGUAAAGCGCGCGCAGGCGGUCCUUUAAGUCUGAUGUGAAAGCCCACGGCUCAACCGUGGAGGGUCAUUGGAAACUGGGGGACUUGAGUGCAGAAGAGGAGAGCGGAAUUCCACGUGUAGCGGUGAAAUGCGUAGAGAUGUGGAGGAACACCAGUGGCGAAGGCGGCUCUCUGGUCUGUAACUGACGCUGAGGCGCGAAAGCGUGGGGAGCGAACAGG